UUACCUAGGCUUGACAUCCUCGGGAAUCCGCAGAGAUGCGGGAGUGCCUUCGGGAAUCCAGAGACAGGUGGUGCAUGGUUGUCGUCAGCUCGUGUCGUGAGAUGUUGGGUUAAGUCCCGCAACGAGCGCAACCCUCGACCUUAGUUGCCAGCAUUCAGUUGGGCACUCUAAGGUGACUGCCGGCUAAAAGUCGGAGGAAGUGGGGAUGACGUCAAAUCAUCAUGCCCCUUAUGACCUGGGCUACACACGUGCUACAAUGGGCGGUACAAAGGGUCGCGAACCCGCGAGGGGGAGCCAAUCCCAAAAAGCCGCUCUCAGUUCGGAUUGCAGGCUGCAACUCGCCUGCAUGAAGCCGGAAUCGCUAGUAAUCGCGGAUCAGCAUGCCGCGGUGAAUACGUUCCCGGGCCUU
RNAcentral lists this ribosomal RNA (409 nucleotides) under uncultured Anoxybacillus sp. RNAcentral's name for it is "bacterial SSU rRNA". It matches the Rfam family "Bacterial small subunit ribosomal RNA", at positions 971 to 1382 of the family's 1533-position model. Lineage: Bacteria; Bacillati; Bacillota; Bacilli; Caryophanales; Anoxybacillaceae. The record is from RNAcentral.